GUGCUUGCUUAAGCAGCAUGUACACUAAAGUUAGAACGAUACAUAGAAGAUUAGCAUAGUCUCUGUGCAAAGAUGACGUGCAGAUUAGUGAAGCAUUCCAUAUGGUU
Molossus molossus (Pallas's mastiff bat) is the source of this 107-nucleotide small nuclear RNA. Lineage: Eukaryota; Metazoa; Chordata; Mammalia; Chiroptera; Molossidae. The record is from RefSeq and is a predicted model, not a curated record.